Molecule: long non-coding RNA, 517 nt
Organism: Musca domestica (house fly)
Lineage: Eukaryota; Metazoa; Arthropoda; Insecta; Diptera; Muscidae
Exons: 2
Source: RefSeq, a predicted model, not a curated record
AAAAAGCGUCAAAUGUCUAAUUUAAACGCGAAAAAGCAGCAGUGGCUCUGUCUCAACUGACAUUUCAGUUGUAAACAAACAAAUUGUAAAUAAACAAACAAAAUAAAAUUUCUAGUGAUUGUGUUCAAACUAUUUGUGCUCUUAGAAAAUAAAAAAAAGAAUAUUUCCGUAGCCCUAUUUUUUAUGGAGGAGGUUCGAAAUGUGCCACGGAGGAAUUUAAGAGAUGCUUCGAAUUUAUUUGAAGUACCUAACAACCAGUUUGUGGCCAACUUUCGCGUGUCGAAGGAAGUUUUCGGGCUCUUUUGGAUAUGAUGGAAGAGAAGUGUGUGCCCGGUUGCAGAACUACCCAAAUCCGCCCCGAUUUAAAACUGCUGCUUCCAAAAAUUGGCAUUCCUCUGGCGAACACAGGAUUCUCCUCCAUUUACUCAACUAGUGCCCGCAGCUGUGUAGUUGAUGAUUUUUUCGUGCUGGAAUUGAGAAAAUAAAAAAAAUAUAUAUUUGUUGUUCACAUAUUAAA